CGUGUAGGCGGUUUGGCAAGUCGAGUGUGAAAUCCCACGGCUCAACCGUGGAACUGCGCUCGAAACUGCCUUACUUGAGUGCGGGAGAGGGUGUGCGGAAUUCCUGGUGUAGCGGUGGAAUGCGUAGAUAUCAGGAAGAACACCGGUGGCGAAGGCGGCACACUGGCCCAGCACUGACGCUGAGGCGCGAAAGCGUGGGGAGCGAACGG
This 209-nucleotide ribosomal RNA is filed under the name uncultured bacterium. Its description in RNAcentral is "partial 16S ribosomal RNA". It matches the Rfam family "Bacterial small subunit ribosomal RNA", at positions 568 to 775 of the family's 1533-position model. The record is from RNAcentral.